RNAcentral lists this ribosomal RNA (813 nucleotides) under uncultured archaeon. RNAcentral describes it as "bacterial SSU rRNA". It matches the Rfam family "Archaeal small subunit ribosomal RNA", at positions 29 to 855 of the family's 1478-position model. The record is from RNAcentral.
GCCCUGGGCAUGGUCUAGCCAUGCGAGUCAUUGUAGCAAUACAAGGCGGACGGCUCAGUAACACGUAGUCACACCUAACUCGUGGACGUGGAUAACCUCGGGAAACUGAGAAUAAACCACGAUAGAUCAUAGUGCCUGGAACGGCUUAUGGUUCAAACAGUUUACUGCCAUGGGAUGGGACUGCGGCCUAUCAGCUUGUUGGUGAGGUAAUGGCCCACCAAGGCGAUUACAGGUACGGGCUCUGAGAGGAGAAGCCCGGAGAUGGGUACUGAGACACGGACCCAGGCCCUAUGGGGCGCAGCAGGCGAGAAACCUUAGCAAUGUGCGAAAGCACGACUGGGUCAGUCCGAGUGAUUUCUGAUAAAGGAGUCUUUUGCUUGUCCUAAAAGCACAGGUGAAUAAGGGGUGGGCAAGUCUGGUGUCAGCCGCCGCGGUAAUACCAGCACCUCGAGUGGUCAGGACGUUUAUUGGGCCUAAAGCAUCCGUAGCCGGCUUUGCAAGUCUUCGGUUAAAUCCACCUGCUUAACAGAUGGGCUGCUGGAGAUACUACAGAGCUAGGGAGUGGGAGAGGCAGACGGUAUUCAGUGGGUAGGGGUAAAAUCCUCUGAUCCAUCGAGGACCACCAGUGGCGAAGGCGGUCUACCAGAACGCGUUCGACGGUGAGGGAUGAAAGCUGGGGGAGCAAACCGGAUUAGAUACCCGGGUAGUCCCAGCUGUAACGAUGCAACUCGGUGAUGCAUUGGCCUUACGGCCAAUGCAGUGCCGCAGGGAGCCGUUAAGUUGCCGCUGGAAGUACGGACGCAGGUCUGAAAC